UACGAAGGGGACUAGCGUUGUUCGGAAUCACUGGGCGUAAAGCGCACGUAGGCGGAUGUGUCAGUCAGGGGUGAAAUCCCGGGGCUCAACCUCGGAACUGCCUUUGAUACAGCACGUCUCGAGUCCGGAAGAGGUGGGUGGAAUUCCUAGUGUAGAGGUGAAAUUCGUAGAUAUUAGGAAGAACACCGGUGGCGAAGGCGGCCUACUGGUCCGGUACUGACGCUGAGGUGCGAAAGCGUGGGGAGCGAACAGG
This 253-nucleotide ribosomal RNA is filed under the name uncultured bacterium. Its description in RNAcentral is "partial 16S ribosomal RNA". It matches the Rfam family "Bacterial small subunit ribosomal RNA", at positions 524 to 776 of the family's 1533-position model. The record is from RNAcentral.